GAUGAACGUUGGCGGCGUGCCUAAUACAUGCAAGUCGAGCGAACGGACGAGAAGCUUGCUUCUCUGAUGUUAGCGGCGGACGGGUGAGUAACACGUGGAUAACCUACCUAUAAGACUGGGAUAACUUCGGGAAACCGGAGCUAAUACCGGAUAAUAUUUUGAACCGCAUGGUUCAAAAGUGAAAGACGGUCUUGCUGUCACUUAUAGAUGGAUCCGCGCUGCAUUAGCUAGUUGGUAAGGUAACGGCUUACCAAGGCAACGAUGCAUAGCCGACCUGAGAGGGUGAUCGGCCACACUGGAACUGAGACCCGGUCCAUACUCCUACGGGACGCAGCAGUAGGGAAUCUUCCGCAAUGGGCGAAAGCCUGACGGAGCAACGCCGCCUCAGUGAUGAAGGUCUUCGGAUCCUAAAACUCUGUUAUUAGGGAAGAACAGAUGUGUAAGUAACUGUGCACAUCUUGACGGUACCUAAUCAGAAAGCCACGGCUAACUACGUG
This 497-nucleotide ribosomal RNA is filed under the name uncultured bacterium. RNAcentral's name for it is "partial 16S ribosomal RNA". It matches the Rfam family "Bacterial small subunit ribosomal RNA", at positions 28 to 507 of the family's 1533-position model. The record is from RNAcentral.